AAACCUUUACACUGCACGACAGUGCGAUAGGGGGACUCCGAGUGUGAGGGCAUAUAGCCCUCGCUUUUCUGAACCGUAAGGUGGUUCAGGAACAAGGACUGGGCAAGACCGGUGCCAGCCGCCGCGGUAAUACCGGCAGUCCGAGUGAUGGCCGAUAUUAUUGGGCCUAAAGCGUCCGUAGCUUGCUGUGUAAGUCCAUUGGGAAAUCGACCAGCUCAACUGGUCGGCGUCCGGUGGAAACUACACAGCUUGGGGCCGAGAGACUCAACGGGUACGUCCGGGGUAGGAGUGAAAUCCUGUAAUCCUGGACGGACCACCAAUGGGGAAACCACGUUGAGAGACCGGACCCGACAGUGAGGGACGAAAGCCAGGGUCUCGAACCGGAUUAGAUACCCGGGUAGUCCUGGCUGUAAACAAUGCUCGCUAGGUAUGUCACGCGCCAUGAGCACGUGAUGUGCCGUAGUGAAGACGAUAAGCGAGCCGCCUGGGAANACUCCGCAAGA
This 503-nucleotide ribosomal RNA is filed under the name Haloarcula vallismortis. RNAcentral describes it as "bacterial SSU rRNA". It matches the Rfam family "Archaeal small subunit ribosomal RNA", at positions 344 to 848 of the family's 1478-position model. Lineage: Archaea; Methanobacteriati; Methanobacteriota; Halobacteria; Halobacteriales; Haloarculaceae. The record is from RNAcentral.